AUGGCAGGUACANCGGGAAGCCAUAUGGCGACAUAGAGCGGAACCCGAAAACCUGUCUCAGUUCGGAUUGGAGUCUGCAACCCGACUCCAUGAAGCUGGAUUCGCUAGUAAUCGCGCAUCAGCCACGGCGCGGUGAAUACGUUCCCGGGCCUUGUACACACCGCCCGUCAAGCCAUGGGAGCCGGGGGUACCUGAAGUGCGUGACCGCAAGGAGCGCCCUAAGGUAAAACCGGUGACUGGGGCUAAGUCGUAACAAGGUACC
RNAcentral lists this ribosomal RNA (262 nucleotides) under uncultured bacterium. RNAcentral describes it as "partial 16S ribosomal RNA". It matches the Rfam family "Bacterial small subunit ribosomal RNA", at positions 1230 to 1500 of the family's 1533-position model. The record is from RNAcentral.